GACGAACGCUGGCGGCGUGCCUAACACAUGCAAGUCGAACGGGACCCGCAAGGGUUCAGUGGCGAACGGGUGCGUAACACGUGAAGAAUCUGUCUAUCGGCGGGGGAUAGCCGGCCCAACGGCCGGGUAAUACCGCGUACGCUCGCGAGGGGGCGAUCCCCAUGCGAGGAAAGCAGCAAUGCACCGAUAGAGGACUUCGCGGCCUAUCAGCUAGUUGGCGGGGUAAUGGCCCACCAAGGCAACGACGGGUAGCUGGUCUGAGAGGAUGACCAGCCACAUUGGGACUGAGACACGGCCCAGACUCCUACGGGAGGCAGCAGUGGGGAAUAUUGCGCAAUGGGGGAAACCCUGACGCAGCGACGCCGCGUGUGGGAUGACGGCCUU
This 384-nucleotide ribosomal RNA is filed under the name uncultured bacterium. RNAcentral describes it as "bacterial SSU rRNA". It matches the Rfam family "Bacterial small subunit ribosomal RNA", at positions 28 to 418 of the family's 1533-position model. The record is from RNAcentral.